ACUAACGAGGAUUCCCUAGUAACUGCGAGUGAAGCGGGAAAAGCUCAAAUUUAAAAUCUGGCGGUCUUUGGCCGUCCGAGUUGUAGUCUGGAGAAGCGUCUUCUACGCCGGACCGUGUACAAGUCCCUUGGAACAGGGCGUCAUAGAGGGUGAGAAUCCCGUCCAUGACACGGACCGCCGGUGGUUUGUGAUGCGCUCUCAAAGAGUCGAGUUGUUUGGGAAUGCAGCUCAAAAUGGGUGGUAAAUUCCAUCUAAAGCUAAAUACUGGCGAGAGACCGAUAGCGAACAAGUACCGUGAGGGAAAGAUGAAAAGCACUUUGGAAAGAGAGUUAAACAGUACGUGAAAUUGCUGAAAGGGAAACGCUUGAAGUCAGUCGCGUCGGCCGGGGCUCAGCCUUGCAUUCGUUUGCUCGGUUUACUUCCCGGUCGACGGGCCAGCGUCGAUUUUGACCGUCGGAAAAGGGUCAGAGGAAAGUGGCACCUUCGGGUGUGUUAUAUAGCCUUUGGUCGCAUACGGCGGUCGGGAUCGAGGAACGCAGCACGCCUUCAUUGGCCGGGGCAUUCGUGCCCACGCAUCGUGCUUAGGAUGCUGGCGGUAAUGGCUUUAAACGACCCGUCUUGAAACACGGACCAAGGAGUCUAACGUGCCUGCGAGUGUUUGGGUGGAAAACCCGAGCGCGCAAUGAAAGUGAAAGUCGAGAUCUCUGUCGCGGAGAGCAUCGACGCCCGGACCUGAGCUGCUUGCGAAGGAUCUGCGGUAGAGCACGCACGUUGGGACCCGAAAGAUGGUGAACUAUGCCUGAAUAGGGUGAAGCCAGAGGAAACUCUGGUGGAGGCUCGUAGCGAUUCUGACGUGCAAAUCGAUCGUCGAAUUUGGGUAUAGGG
RNAcentral lists this ribosomal RNA (885 nucleotides) under Laetiporus huroniensis. RNAcentral describes it as "LSU rRNA". It matches the Rfam family "Eukaryotic large subunit ribosomal RNA", at positions 64 to 922 of the family's 3401-position model. Lineage: Eukaryota; Fungi; Basidiomycota; Agaricomycetes; Polyporales; Laetiporaceae. The record is from RNAcentral.